GAAGGACUGUGGCUCAGCGGGAGAGCAUUUGCUAGGUAUGUAGAAGCUUCCAGGUUCAAUCCAGGGCAUCUUCA
This 74-nucleotide transfer RNA is filed under the name Sphaerodactylus townsendi. Its description in RNAcentral is "tRNA-Thr". The record is from RNAcentral. Lineage: Eukaryota; Metazoa; Chordata; Lepidosauria; Squamata; Sphaerodactylidae.